CCUACGGGAGGCAGCAGUGAGGAAUAUUGGUCAAUGGCCGAGAGCCUGAACCAGCCAAGUAGCGUGAGGGAAGACUGCCCUACGGGUUGUAAACCUCUUUUGUCCGGGAGCAAGGAUCGCCACGAGUGGAUCUGCGCAGGUACCUGAAGAAUAAGCAUCGGCUAACUCCGUGCCAGCAGCCGCGGUAAUACGGAGGGUCCGAGCGUUAUCCGGAUUUAUUGGGUUUAAAGGGUGCGUAGGCGGAAGCUGAAGGUUACCGGGAAAUUUUCGGGGCCCACCCUUACCGUGCGGUGGAAACUGGUCUUCUAGAGUGGGCGGAAGGCAUGCGGAAUGCGUGGUGUAGCGGUGAAAUGCAUAGAUAUCACGCAGAACUCCGAUUGCGAAGGCAGCAUGCCGGCGCGCAACUGACGCUCAUGCACGAAAGCGUGGGUAUCGAACAGGAUUAGAUACCCCUGUAGUC
Molecule: ribosomal RNA, 460 nt
Filed under: uncultured bacterium
Lineage: Bacteria
Description: partial 16S ribosomal RNA
Rfam family: Bacterial small subunit ribosomal RNA
Source: RNAcentral